CCGUCAAUUCCUUUGAGUUUUAACCUUGCGGCCGUACUCCCCAGGCGGUCGAUUUAACGCGUUAGCUCCGGAAGCCACGCCUCAAGGGCACAACCUCCAAAUCGACAUCGUUUACAGCGUGGACUACCAGGGUAUCUAAUCCUGUUUGCUCCCCACGCUUUCGCACCUGAGCGUCAGUCUUUGUCCAGGGGGCCGCCUUCGCCACCGGUAUUCCUCCAGAUCUCUACGCAUUUCACCGCUACACCUGGAAUUCUACCCCCCUCUACAAGACUCUAGCCUGCCAGUUUCGAAUGCAGUUCCCAGGUUGAGCCCGGGGAUUUCACAUCCGACUUGACAGACCGCCUGCGUGCGCUUUACGCCCAGUAAUUCCGAUUAACGCUUGCACCCUCCGUAUUACCGC
Molecule: unclassified non-coding RNA, 400 nt
Filed under: uncultured Enterobacteriaceae bacterium
Lineage: Bacteria; Pseudomonadati; Pseudomonadota; Gammaproteobacteria; Enterobacterales; Enterobacteriaceae
Description: contains 16S-23S intergenic spacer region
Source: RNAcentral